Molecule: ribosomal RNA, 461 nt
Filed under: uncultured bacterium
Lineage: Bacteria
Description: partial 16S ribosomal RNA
Rfam family: Bacterial small subunit ribosomal RNA
Source: RNAcentral
CCUACGGGUGGGCAGCAGUGAGGAAUAUUGGUCAAUGGGCGCGAGCCUGAACCAGCCAAGUCGCGUGAGGGAAGACGGUCCUAUGGAUUGUAAACCUCUUUUGUCGGGGAGCAAAAGACGCCACGCGUGGCGUUCCGAGAGUACCCGAAGAAAAAGCAUCGGCUAACUCCGUGCCAGCAGCCGCGGUAAUACGGAGGAUGCGAGCGUUAUCCGGAUUUAUUGGGUUUAAAGGGUGCGUAGGUGGUUUGACAAGUUAGUAGCGCAACUCCGGGGCUCAACUUCGGAACUACUACUAAAACUGUUGGACUUGAGUGCAGGAGGGGCAAUCGGAAUUCCUAGUGUAGCGGUGGAAUGCGUAGAUAUUAGGAGGAACACCAGUGGCGAAGGCGGAUUGCUAGACUGUAACUGACACUGAGGCACGAAAGCGUGGGGAGCAAACAGGAUUAGAUACCCUAGUAGUC